RNAcentral lists this ribosomal RNA (428 nucleotides) under uncultured bacterium. RNAcentral's name for it is "bacterial SSU rRNA". It matches the Rfam family "Bacterial small subunit ribosomal RNA", at positions 355 to 775 of the family's 1533-position model. The record is from RNAcentral.
UCGAGAAUCUUUCGCAAUGGGCGAAAGCCUGACGAAGCGACGCCGUGUGUGUGAUGAAGGCCUUCGGGUUGUAAAGCACUUUCGCCUGGGAACAAGAGACCUUGGCUAACAUCCAGGGAAUUUGAGAGUAUCAGGUAAAGAAGCACCGGCUAACUACGUGCCAGCAGCUGCGGUAAUACGUAGGGUGCAAGCAUUAAUCGGAUUUAUUGGGCGUAAAGGGCGUGUAGGCGGACAUAUAAGUCAGAUGUGAAAUCCCGGGGCUCAACUCCGGAACAGCAUUUGAAACUGUAUAUCUAGAGGGUAGACGGAGAAAACGGAAUUCCACAAGUAGCGGUGAAAUGCGUAGAUAUGUGGAAGAACACCAGUGGCGAAGGCGGUUUUCUAGUUUAUACCUGACGCUGAGGCGCGAAAGCAAGGGGAGCAAACAG